GUGGGGAAUCUUCCGCAAUGGACGAAAGUCUGACGGAGCAACGCCGCGUGAGUGAUGAAGGUCUUCGGAUUGUAAAGCUCUGUUAAUCGGGACGAAAGAGCCUAGUGUGAAUAAUGCUAGGAAGUGACGGUACCGGAAUAGAAAGCCACGGCUAACUACGUGCCAGCAGCCGCGGUAAUACGUAGGUGGCAAGCGUUGUCCGGAAUUAUUGGGCGUAAAGCGCGCGCAGGCGGAUCUGCCAGUCUGUCUUAAAAGUUCGGGGCUUAACCCCGUGAUGGGAUGGAAACUACAGAUCUAGAAUAUCGGAGAGGAAAGUGGAAUUCCUAGUGUAGCGGUGAAAUGCGUAGAUAUUAGGAAGAACACCAGUGGCGAAGGCGACUUUCUGGACGAAAACUGACGCUGAGGCGCGAAAGCCAGGGGAGCGAACGGGAUUAGAUACCCUGGUAGUCC
This 450-nucleotide ribosomal RNA is filed under the name uncultured bacterium. RNAcentral describes it as "partial 16S ribosomal RNA". It matches the Rfam family "Bacterial small subunit ribosomal RNA", at positions 354 to 796 of the family's 1533-position model. The record is from RNAcentral.